This 104-nucleotide microRNA precursor is filed under the name Loxodonta africana (African savanna elephant). RNAcentral's name for it is "miRNA (ENSLAFG00000024011.1)". Lineage: Eukaryota; Metazoa; Chordata; Mammalia; Proboscidea; Elephantidae. The record is from RNAcentral.
CAUAUAUAUGAUACACAUAUAUUUUCAAUAUAUACACAUAUAUUUUAUAUAUACACAUAUAUAAAAUAUAUAUGAUAUAUAUAUGUGUGUGUGCUUAUGUGUGU